UACGUAGGGCGCAAGCGUUAAUCGGAAUUACUGGGCGUAAAGCGUGCGCAGGCGGUUUUGUAAGUCUGACGUGAAAUCCCCGGGCUCAACCUGGGAAUUGCGUUGGAGACUGCAAGGCUAGAAUCUGGCAGAGGGGGGUAGAAUUCCACGUGUAGCAGUGAAAUGCGUAGAGAUGUGGAGGAACACCGAUGGCGAAGGCAGCCCCCUGGGUCAA
Molecule: ribosomal RNA, 214 nt
Filed under: uncultured bacterium
Lineage: Bacteria
Description: partial 16S ribosomal RNA
Rfam family: Bacterial small subunit ribosomal RNA
Source: RNAcentral